AAUUUUGGACAAUGGGGGAAACCCUGAUCCAGCCAUCCCGCGUGUAUGAUGAAGGACUUCGGGUUGUAAUGUACUUUUGGCAGAGAAGAAAAGGUAUCUCCUAAUACGAGAUACUGCUGACGGUAUCUGCAGAAUAAGCACCGGCUAACUACGUGCCAGCAGACGCGGUAAUACGUAGGGUGCAAGCGUUAAUCGGAAUUACUGGGCGUAAAGAGUGUUGAGUCGGAUCGGAAAGAAAGAUGUGAAAUACCAAGGAUAAAACUAGGAACUGCAUUUUUAACUGCCGAGCUAGAGUAUGUCAAAGGGGGGUAGAAUUCCACGUGUAGCAGUGAAAUGCGUAGAUAUGUGGAGGAAUACCGAUGGCGAAGGCAGCCCCCUGGGAUAAUACUGACGCUCAGACACGAAAGCGUGGGGAGCAAACA
This 422-nucleotide ribosomal RNA is filed under the name uncultured bacterium. RNAcentral describes it as "partial 16S ribosomal RNA". It matches the Rfam family "Bacterial small subunit ribosomal RNA", at positions 360 to 774 of the family's 1533-position model. The record is from RNAcentral.